CCUCGCAGCCCCUGGGGAUGGUUGGGGAGGGGGCGUAGGGCCCUCUGUACCGUCCUUCCUCCUCCCGGGGAGAGGCGGGGGUAGCUCUGGGUGUACCGCGGCAGCGGAAGAAGGCCCCUAGCCCAGCGGCCGCCUGAUAAGCGUCUCCCCCUCCCCCAACUACGGGCAUCCACGUGCUUCACAUUCUUGGACGUCUGGGAGCGGGCGGAGGUGUGAGUGGCGGAGAUUGGUGGGAGACAGAUGGGGAGCCACAUCCUGUGCACCCCCCUUGUCCUCUAAUGCACCGAAAUGAGGGCUCUGGGGAGGGAGGCAAUGUCCCUAGGGCCCUGCAGAACCCAGGCCACCUCCUCCCAGAGCCAACCUGCUCUUCCCACCUUCAGUGGCAGUAAAGGGGAGAGUGGAGAAUUCCCCAAGAGGGGGCUGGAGGCAGCUCCAGUCACCAGCGGACUUCCACACACCCAAGGGGACCCUUCCAAGGUGGUGGCAUUGGCCCCACAUAUUCUAGACUGAGUCUAGUUGCCACCCUCAGACUCCGGGUCCUUCCUGUGCCUCAAGGCAAGCCCCCAGACCCCCAUCACUCCCAACCUCACAGCCUCAGGACCCGAGUCCACUGACACCUCACUCACUUAUAUAUGCACACCCACGCUCAGACUACGGGAACUGGAAACCCAGGCCUCUAGGUCUACUACCCCACCCCAGAAUGGAUGUGGGGACAGGUCUCCACUUCCCCAUGUCCAGUGGUUUAGGGGAAGGGCUCACCAAUACACUGCCUGUCCUACUCUCUGUGAUCCUCCUCCCUCUCCAGUUCUGGGCCAGGAAGAGCUGAGCUGUCCCCAUGGGCUAAGAAGAGACAGGGGCUGGAGACCAAGGUCUCAGAUCCCAGCUUCUCUCCAGCCCUCUGGAGAAGGUGGCCAAGGCAGUGGAAGGGGUGACUCUGGCAGCCCUGCUCCAACUAUCCCCCUAGGGGAGGGGGGUCUUGCUCCAGCACUGGGAGAAUGAGAAAAAGGGUCCUAGAGUCAUCCUCUCACUCUCUCUUCUUCCAAAGUCAAGGGUGAUACCUUCCCUCUUGUGUCUACAGCCACACAGCAGAUUCGGCCCUAGAGGAAAUGGUCGGGGGCAGGACAAUAGGAAAAGCUGGGAUAGAAGUGGCUCUGGGAGGGCAGAGGUGGGCUGUCUGUCCAUCUCAGGUCUCUCUUCUCCCAGCAAGAGGGGUGGGGCAAGAGGUCCGAGCUGGGAAGUCCUGCGCGCCGCCCCCGUCACUCAGCCGGCGGCGCCAUCCGAGCAGAGCAGCUGGGGGAGAGGAGACGUCCCCUCGCCCCGACUGGUGACCCGGGCAGGGGGCGCCCCCUGCCCUGAAGUCCCCGCGUCUAAGUCCGCCGGCCGCUCCGCCAGUCCCGGUGAAAAGCAGGGAAGUUGUGUGUGCUGGGAGGGGGGGUCCGUCGGCUCUCCCAGGGAAGCCUGGCGGGGCCCGGGAACUCAGCGGCUUCACCUCGAGGGGACUCCCGUCUAGAGUCUCGUGGCGUCCGAGGCAGAGUACAGCGGCUCCCCAAGUCCGCAGGCCGGGGGCGGGAUCAGCGCGGGGCUGGGGGUCAACGAGCACUUCCUCCUCCCAGCCGGGGAUCCGGGGCUUCUCCAGGGAUUCUCCGUGGCGAGGAUUCCGGGUGGGGGUGGGGAUCCCGCGCGGUUCCGCCCCCGCCAGGCCAGGGGCAGCUGGCGACUCGCUCGGUCUCUGGUGGUACGCGCCACGGCCCCCCCACCCCAGCUCUGCGCGCCCCCUCCCCUCCGGGCACCACCCCCUUUCCACCGCCCCGCCCCGUCCAGGCACCGCCCCUGGCUUAACCCAUUCCCGGCGCGUCCGGCUGCAGCGGGAGAAACGCAGGGAACCGAGAGGGAGAGGCGGCAUGUGGACAGGCCGGGCCUCAUUUGCCUAAUGCAAUGCGGCUGAACUCUCGCUGAACUCGCCUGGCGGCGCCUCACCUCCGAGUGACCCACCCACCGCUGCCCGUGACAUCACCCGCUCGCCAGCCCGCCCGCGGGGCUCGCCCGCCAGCCCCCUGCCCGGCCGAACCGGGCCACCUCCCCCGGAGACGCGGAGAGCGGCGGCAGGAGGCGUAGGGCCGGGUCGCGCGGGGCCAAGUGUUUGGCACCCGGGUGUGACAUUGUGCAGCUCGGACGCUGUGUCGGAAUGAGACACCGGCUUGUGUCAUUGUCUGUGACAUCAUGUGUGACUCCGGCCGCCGGAACCCGACGCGGCAGCGCGGGUGCUGUUGGCACAAACACAGGCAGAGGGGGCCCUCCUCCCCACGCUCUGCGUGCUUCCGGCGAGCAAAGCCCCGCCCAAGGUGUCUCCUAGCUGGGGAACCAGUACCGGCCCCUGGUGCACUGUCCAGCUCUGGAGAGAUAAAAGGAAGAGCUGGUGCCUUCCAGUGGACUACUUCAUCCUAGAAGCCCUCGGGAUGCACGUUUCACUGGAAGAAAGGCCUAGCUUGGGUAGGUCCCUAGAAAGAGGGGAUACCCCUGGAGGAGGGGGUAUCCUAUUACCCCCACUCUCUAAAAGGAAGGAUGGAAAUGUACAUGCUACCCAAGGACAUUCUUCUAGAAGAAGCCUGGCUCUUUAUAUAUGUUGUCAUUUUAUCCUCACAGCAACUCCAAGAGAUGUUUUACAAAUAAAACAGGUCUCAGCAAGGCUAUGUGGGUUGUCCAAGAUCACAUUACUAAUAAUAAAGAGUAGAGCAGGUAUUUGAACUUCCUGCUGCCAAAGCCCAUGUUCUUACCAAGCUAGGCCAAUUCAAGGUAUUUUUCUGAGCACCUUCUAUGUGGACACCCUGGGGAACCUGCCCUUGUAGACCUUAGGGAGCAACAGCCAUUAAGCAAAUAAUCACUGUAUGCACACACAAUUGCAAACUGAGAUAAAUGCUAUUAUGCUCUGAAGAAUUAACAUAGGUACCUAAUUUAGGUUUAACUAAAUUAGGGAAGAACUCAAAUAAAACAGACCUACCAUAAGAGAAAGUUUGUAAGUUAAUCAGGCAAAGAGUAGAAAGGAGUGUAGUUCCAGUUAAAGGGCGAGUCUGUGCAAAGGCCCUGGGGUUACAGCAGUUGAUGAGUUCAUUGAAGGAACUGGCAGAAGGCUAGAAUCAUGGGGCACAAAAUUCAAAAGGAAAAGGUACACAAGACCAGGCUAGAGAGGUGGGCUCAGGCCAGACCAGGGGGGCUUAUAGGCCUCAGUAAGGCUUUUGGAUUUUAUCCUAAAUGCAAGGAAAAGCCAUAGAAAGGUUCCAAGCAAAGGAAAGAUCAGAUUUACAGUGUAAAAAGAUCUUUCCAGUAGUUGUGUGAAGAAUGGAUUAUAGGAGGGCAAGAGAGACCAGGUAAAAGCUACUGCAGCAGUCCAGGCAUCAGACAAGGGUGGCUUGGCCUAGGAAACUGGAAGUGCUGAUGGACAGAGGAAGGUGGAUUCAAUAAACAUUUUAAAGG
RNAcentral lists this long non-coding RNA (3471 nucleotides) under Homo sapiens (human). Its description in RNAcentral is "HSALNT0389688". Lineage: Eukaryota; Metazoa; Chordata; Mammalia; Primates; Hominidae. The record is from RNAcentral.